RNAcentral lists this ribosomal RNA (404 nucleotides) under uncultured bacterium. RNAcentral describes it as "bacterial SSU rRNA". It matches the Rfam family "Bacterial small subunit ribosomal RNA", at positions 355 to 776 of the family's 1533-position model. The record is from RNAcentral.
UGGGGAAUAUUGGACAAUGGGCGAAAGCCUGAUCCAGCAAUGCCGCGUGAGUGAAGAAGGCCUUCGGGUUGUAAAGCUCUUUUGCCCGGGAAGAUAAUGACUGUACCGGGAGAAUAAGCCCCGGCUAACUCCGUGCCAGCAGCCGCGGUAAUACGGAGGGGGCUAGCGUUGUUCGGAAUUACUGGGCGUAAAGCGCACGUAGGCGGCUAUUCAAGUCAGAGGUGAAAGCCUGGAGCUCAACUUCAGAAUUGCCUUUGAAACUAGGUAGCUUGAACACGGGAGAGGUGAGUGGAAUUCCGAGUGUAGAGGUGAAAUUCGUAGAUAUUCGGAAGAACACCAGUGGCGAAGGCGGCUCACUGGACCGUUGUUGACGCUGAGGUGCGAAAGCGUGGGGAGCAAACAGG